UACCCGCUGAGUUUAAGCAUAUCACUAAGCGGAGGAAAAGAAACUAACAAGGAUUUCCCUAGUAGCGGCGAGCGAAACGGAAAGAGCCCAGCUUGAAAAUCGGAGUGCAUUGCGCUCCGAGUUGUAGUCUGGAGAAGGGUCCUCAGCGACAGACCGGGCUUAGGUUCCCUGGAAAGGGACGCCAGAGAGGGUGAGAGCCCCGUCUAGCCCGGACCCUGUUGCGUUACGAGGCUCUUUCGGCGAGUCGGGCUGUUUGGGAAUGCAGCCUCAAGCGGGUGGUAAAUCCCAUCCAAGGCUAAAUAUUGGUGAGAGACCGAUAGUGCACAAGUACCGCGAGGGAAAGAUGAAAAGGACUUUGAAAAGAGAGUCAAAAAGUGCUUGAAAUUGCUGGGAGGGAAGCGAAUGGAUGCUCUGUGCGCCCCUUGGUUGUGUGUGGAACGGCGAGAGCUGGUCUGCUGAUCAAUGCAAGGGGUUAGCCAGCAUGGGAGGCCUUGGCGGGAUAACGGUGUCGCUGGCUUUCAGCCAGCUUCAGCAAAUGCCGCCNCGGCCUCUGGGGGUUAGUGCGGGGUGCUUCGGUGCCCCGCCAGAUGCUGGUAUUUGGGGCGUUCCAUCCGACCCGUCUUGAAACACGGACCAAGGAGUCUAACAUGUGUGCGAGCCUGUGGGUGUAAAACCCGACUAGGCGAAAGGAAACUAAUUCGUGGGAUCCCCGCGAGGGGUGCACCACGGACCGACCUUGAUCUUNUGAAAAGGGUUCGAGUGCAAGUACACCUGUUGGGACCCGAAAGAUGGUGAACUAUGCCUGANCAGGGCGAACCAGANGAAACUCUGGUGGAGGCUC
This 841-nucleotide ribosomal RNA is filed under the name Selaginella acanthostachys. Its description in RNAcentral is "eukaryotic LSU rRNA". It matches the Rfam family "Eukaryotic large subunit ribosomal RNA", at positions 22 to 876 of the family's 3401-position model. The record is from RNAcentral. Lineage: Eukaryota; Viridiplantae; Streptophyta; Lycopodiopsida; Selaginellales; Selaginellaceae.